AAUUCGAUUAGUUUGAUCCUGGCUCAGAACGAACGCUGGCGGCGCGCCUAAUACAUGCAAGUCGAGCGAGAAGACGUAGCAAUACGUUUGUAAAGCGGCGAACGGGUGAGGAAUACAUGGGUAACCUACCCUAGAGUGGGGAAUAACUAGCCGAAAGGUUAGCUAAUACCGCGUACGCUCCUUGGACUUCGGUACAGGGAGGAAAGCGAUACCGUGGGUAUCGCGCUCUUGGAUGGGCUCAUGUCCUAUCAGCUUGUUGGUGAGGUAACGGCUCACCAAGGCUUCGACGGGUAGCUGGUCUGAGAGGACGAUCAGCCACACUGGCACUGCGACACGGGCCAGACUCCUACGGGAGGCAGCAGUAAGGAAUAUUGCGCAACGGGCGAAAGCCUGACGCAGCGACGCCGCGUGGGGGAUGAAGGUUUUCGGAUUGUAAACCCCUUUCGGGAGGGAAGAUGGAACGAGCAAUCGUUCGGACGGUACCUCCAGAAGCAGCCACGGCUAACUUCGUGCCAGCAGCCGCGGUAAUACGAAGGUGGCAAGCGUUGUUCGGAUUUACUGGGCGUACAGGGAGCGUAGGCGGUUCGGUAAGCCCUCUGUGAAAUCUCCAGGCUUAACCUGGAACAGUCGGAGGGGACUGCUGGGCUAGAGGACGGGAGAGGAGCGCGGAAUUCCCGGUGUAGCGGUGAAAUGCGUAGAGAUCGGGAGGAAGGCCGGUAGCGAAGGCGGCGCUCUGGAACGUUUCUGACGCUGAGGCUCGAAAGCGUGGGGAGCAAACAGGAUUAGAUACCCUGGUAGUCCACGCUUUAAACUAUGAAUACUAAGUGUCGGCGG
Molecule: ribosomal RNA, 834 nt
Filed under: uncultured bacterium
Lineage: Bacteria
Description: bacterial SSU rRNA
Rfam family: Bacterial small subunit ribosomal RNA
Source: RNAcentral